This is a long non-coding RNA of Alligator sinensis (Chinese alligator), 230 nucleotides long. RefSeq lists it as uncharacterized. Lineage: Eukaryota; Metazoa; Chordata; Crocodylia; Alligatoridae. The record is from RefSeq and is a predicted model, not a curated record. The transcript has 3 exons.
CCCAUGCCGGCGGGUUUUUUAAAUCCUACAGGGCCUUCUUACCUCCAGGCCAUGUAUUGGAGCUUCCCCUCAGCAGGCAUGGAAACCUGGAGACCCCAAAAGUAGCAGGAGAUGCCAGCCAGGCUUUCUCAGAGGCCAGACCAGUACUUGGGAAUCCACUAGCCCUCCUCUUGAGAACCUGGCUGCAUUACAAGUCGGACGACUUCAGGGAGCCACCAAGUUACACCACC